Molecule: non-coding RNA, 342 nt
Organism: Xyrichtys novacula (pearly razorfish)
Lineage: Eukaryota; Metazoa; Chordata; Actinopteri; Labriformes; Labridae
Source: the annotation of a GenBank genome assembly
CUUCCUUGAGCUGCGUCACCCCGCUGUAGUCCGUAAUGGACUGGCCUGAGGUCUCUCUACAAACAAGCGUCUGCUGGAAGAGAGUAGGUGAGUUGUGUUUAGUCUCUUUGCCAAAGAAAUGAGUCAAAGUUAAAAAGAUGUUUGGUGUCUAGUACUAUGUCUGUGACCCUAUAUGUCCUGUUGAUGAAGUUAGGUGCUGUUCUGAGCAUUAUUUGUGGCUAUAGAGUGGCGUUUUGGUUGAGGUUUGUUUAUGGCUCCGCUGUGUAUUGCUAUCCUGCGGUCGUUACUAAAGUUGGUAUAACUAGAGAAGCAAGCGGUCGGCAACAUUCAUCUCUGGAGGGG